CCUCUUUAAGAGAUUUAACUUUGAAGCCUUUGUCCCUUUGAAUGUUAUUGUCUUCAGCUGCAAUUUGUAACUCCCAGCAUCCCCUUUCUACUGCAAAUAUGAAUUGAACCUCUACAAGACAUCAUCCCAAAAAAAUUGUGUCAUCUGGAGAACCUUAUGCAGAUUACAUCCACAGUCAACAACAGCACUGCCAUCCUGACCUGCACAUGCUGCAGACUGCACUGCCUGACAGCAGGAACUUCUUGAGAAAAUUUCAUGAUCUGAACAACUGCUACAGCUUGUUGUAGCAGUGAAGGGCUGAGGCACUAACAGAAACUCGAGUGCUUCUCUAAUUUAUAGAAG
Motacilla alba alba is the source of this 342-nucleotide long non-coding RNA. RefSeq lists it as uncharacterized. Lineage: Eukaryota; Metazoa; Chordata; Aves; Passeriformes; Motacillidae. The transcript has 3 exons. The record is from RefSeq and is a predicted model, not a curated record.